RNAcentral lists this transfer RNA (76 nucleotides) under Tersicoccus phoenicis. RNAcentral describes it as "tRNA-His". It matches the Rfam family "tRNA". From Rfam's summary of the family: Transfer RNA (tRNA) molecules are approximately 80 nucleotides in length. Their secondary structure includes four short double-helical elements and three loops (D, anti-codon, and T loops). Lineage: Bacteria; Bacillati; Actinomycetota; Actinomycetes; Micrococcales; Micrococcaceae. The record is from RNAcentral. RNAcentral also lists the same sequence under 1 other name.
GUGGGUAUAGCUCAGUUGGCAGAGCGUCUGGUUGUGGUCCAGAAGGUCGCGGGUUCGACCCCCGUUACUCACCCCG